GAUGAACGCUAGCGGGAGGCUUAACACAUGCAAGUCGAGGGGCAGCAUGGAGUAGCAAUACUCUGAUGGCGACCGGCAGACGGGUGAGUAACGCGUAUGUAACCUACCCUGUACAGGGGGAUAACCCGGAGAAAUUCGGACUAAUACCCCAUAAAGAUAUCGAGAGGCAUCUUUUGGUAUUUAAAGUUUCGACGGUACGGGAUGGGCAUGCGUAACAUUAGCUAGUUGGUAGGGUAACGGCCUACCAAGGCGACGAUGUUUAGGGGUCCUGAGAGGGUGAUCCCCCACACUGGUACUGAGACACGGACCAGACUCCUACGGGAGGCUG
This 328-nucleotide ribosomal RNA is filed under the name uncultured Bacteroidota bacterium. Its description in RNAcentral is "bacterial SSU rRNA". It matches the Rfam family "Bacterial small subunit ribosomal RNA", at positions 28 to 351 of the family's 1533-position model. The record is from RNAcentral. Lineage: Bacteria; Pseudomonadati; Bacteroidota.